GCCAAAGCUAAGUACCCUUCCCUCGCUUUCUCUCUCUGCCCCCUCCUACUCCUCAAAGCAAGUCCAAAAAUUUUCCUCCACUUUCCCACUGACCAAACAAGGAGGAAAGAAUCCGACCAAAAAGGCGAAAAUAAAAUGAAGGGAGGAACAGUGCAGAUCAAUUGGCAUGGCACAAAACCUGUCCUAAGCCUAGAUUUUCAUCCAAUUUCCGGUCUCCUGGCCACCGGCGGUGCCGACUUCGACAUCAAGCUUUGGUUAAUAAAUUCAGGUGAAGCCCAGAAGAAAAUCCCAAUGGCUUCCUAUCAAAAUAGUCUUUCCCACCAUUGUUCUUCUGUGAAUGCUCUUCGUUUCUCUCUCUCUGGAGAUCUACUUGCCUCUGGUGCCGAUGGGGGGGAGUUGAUUGUAUGGAAGUUACACUCUACAGAAGCUGGUAAAACGUGGAAAGUUCUCAAGAAUUUAUCAUUUCAUCGCAAGGAUGUUCUGGAUCUGCAAUGGUCUCCUGAUUGUGCAUUUUUGAUGUCCGGAUCAGUUGAUAAUUCUUGCAUCAUAUGGGAUGUUAACAAAGGUUCUGUGCAUCAGCUAUUGGAUAAUCAUUUCCAUUAUGUUCAAGGUGUGGCUUGGGAUCCAUUGAACAAGUACGUUGCUUCUCUUAGUUCAGAUAGAACUUGCCGAGUUUAUAUCAAUAAGCCUCAAACAAAAACAAAAGGCUUUGAGAAGAUAAAUUAUGUUUGCCAACAUGUCAUUACAAAGACAGAGCACCAAUUGGCAGAUGAUUCUAAGUCUUCAAAAAACCAUCUUUUUCAUGAUGAAACGUUGCCAUCUUUCUUCCGAAGAUUAGCAUGGUCACCUGAUGGAUCAUUUUUACUUGUUCCAGCAGGUUCUUAUAAGAUGUCACCUGCAUCAGACAUGGUAAAUACUGCUUAUGCAUUUUCCAGAAAGGAUUUUUCAAGGCCUGCUUUAAUGCUCCCUGGUGCCAGUAAACCUGUAGUAGCUGUUCGCUUCUGCCCCAUGGUUUUUAGCCCUAGGGGAUUGCACUCAGCUGGAUUCUUCAAGCUUCCUUAUCGCCUAAUUUUUGCAGUGGCAACUUUAAACUCGUUGUACAUCUAUGACACAGAGAGUGCGCCUCCAAUAGCAAUCUUGGCUGGUCUUCACUAUGCAGCCAUAACUGACGUUGCCUGGUCAUCGAAUGCCCAGUAUUUGGCUGUGUCUUCUCAAGAUGGUUACUGUACU
This 1230-nucleotide unclassified non-coding RNA is filed under the name Hevea brasiliensis (rubber tree). Lineage: Eukaryota; Viridiplantae; Streptophyta; Magnoliopsida; Malpighiales; Euphorbiaceae. The record is from RNAcentral.